AUCACUUGUUGGCCUUUUGGCUAAGAUCAAGUGUAGUAUCUGUUCUUAUCUGUUUAAGAAAGCCUGUUGAAAUAUACCAUGGAGCCUUCAGUGAAGUUCUUCUUGAUGGAUAAUGUGGGCCUCAGGGUCAAGAAUGUAUCUUUCAGAGGCUGGCACUGUGGCGUAGCAGGUAAAGCCGCUGCCUGCAGUGCCGGCAUC
Molecule: small nuclear RNA, 198 nt
Organism: Oryctolagus cuniculus (rabbit)
Lineage: Eukaryota; Metazoa; Chordata; Mammalia; Lagomorpha; Leporidae
Gene: U2
Rfam family: U2 spliceosomal RNA
About the family: U2 is a small nuclear RNA (snRNA) component of the spliceosome (involved in pre-mRNA splicing). Complementary binding between U2 snRNA (in an area lying towards the 5' end but 3' to hairpin I) and the branchpoint sequence (BPS) of the intron results the bulging out of an unpaired adenosine, on the BPS, which initiates a nucleophilic attack at the intronic 5' splice site, thus starting the first of two transesterification reactions that mediate splicing.
Source: Ensembl